This 490-nucleotide ribosomal RNA is filed under the name uncultured bacterium. RNAcentral describes it as "partial 16S ribosomal RNA". It matches the Rfam family "Bacterial small subunit ribosomal RNA", at positions 29 to 507 of the family's 1533-position model. The record is from RNAcentral.
AAUGAACGCUGGCGGCAUGCCUUACACAUGCAAGUCGAACGGCAGCAUGACCUAGCUUGCUAGGUUGAUGGCGAGUGGCGAACGGGUGAGUAAUGCAUCGGAACGUGCCUUUUAGUGGGGGAUAACGUAGCGAAAGUUACGCUAAUACCGCAUAUUCUCUGAGGAGGAAAGCAGGGGACCUUCGGGCCUUGCGCUAGAAGAGCGGCCGAUGUCGGAUUAGCUAGUUGGUGAGGUAAAGGCUCACCAAGGCAACGAUCCGUAGCGGGUCUGAGAGGAUGAUCCGCCACACUGGGACUGAGACACGGCCCAGACUCCUACGGGAGGCAGCAGUGGGGAAUUUUGGACAAUGGGCGCAAGCCUGUUCCAGCCAUGCCGCGUGAGUGAAGAAGGCCUUCGGGUUGUAAAGCUCUUUCGGCUGGGAAGAAAUCGCACCCUCUAAUACAGGGUGUGGAUGACGGUACCAGCAUAAGAAGCACCGGCUAACUACGUG